CACUUUUGCGAUGUGUGCUGAAGAAAUUACUGACAGUACGGAGAUUAGCAUGGCCCCUGAGUGAGGGUGACACAAAAAAUUCAAUAAGCUUCUAUAUUUUUU
This is a small nuclear RNA of Rattus rattus (black rat), 102 nucleotides long. The record is from RefSeq and is a predicted model, not a curated record. Lineage: Eukaryota; Metazoa; Chordata; Mammalia; Rodentia; Muridae.